GACGAACGCUGGCGGCGUGCUUAACACAUGCAAGUCGAACGGAAAGGCCCUGCUUUUGUGGGGUGCUCGAGUGGCGAACGGGUGAGUAACACGUGAGUAACCUGCCCUUGACUUUGGGAUAACUUCAGGAAACUGGGGCUAAUACCGGAUAGGAGCUCCUGCUGCAUGGUGGGGGUUGGAAAGUUUCGGCGGUUGGGGAUGGACUCGCGGUUUAUCAGCUUGUUGGUGGGGUAGUGGCUUACCAAGGCUUUGACGGGUAGCCGGCCUGAGAGGGUGACCGGCCACAUUGGGACUGAGAUACGGACCAGACUCCUACGGGAGGCAGAAGUGGGGAAUAUUGCACAAUGGGCGGAAGCCUGAUGCAGCAACGCCGCGUGCGGGAUGACGGCCUUCGGGUUGUAAACCGCUUUCGCCUGUGACGAAGCGUGAGUGACGGUAAUGGGUAAAGAAGCACCGGCUAACUACGUG
RNAcentral lists this ribosomal RNA (468 nucleotides) under uncultured bacterium. Its description in RNAcentral is "partial 16S ribosomal RNA". It matches the Rfam family "Bacterial small subunit ribosomal RNA", at positions 28 to 507 of the family's 1533-position model. The record is from RNAcentral.